AAGUCGUAACAAGGUAUCCGUAGGUGAACCUGCGGAUGGAUCAUUAGUGAAUUGAAGGCGAGCGCGUUAGCGCGAGUCUUUCAACCCACCCUUGUGCAACGUAACGUACUCUGGGGACUUCUCAGGAGGUUCCCGAGGGGUCUAGGGCGACCUUUAAAAGUCGCCUGAAGCCCAACCAACAAACACUUUGAACCAAAGACUGAAUUCGAAAGAAAUUUCUAAUGUGAAACAACUUUUGACAACGGAUCUCUUGGCUCUC
Molecule: unclassified non-coding RNA, 259 nt
Filed under: fungal sp.
Lineage: Eukaryota; Fungi
Description: partial internal transcribed spacer region
Rfam family: Eukaryotic small subunit ribosomal RNA (bases 1-46)
Source: RNAcentral